RNAcentral lists this ribosomal RNA (693 nucleotides) under uncultured archaeon. RNAcentral describes it as "bacterial SSU rRNA". It matches the Rfam family "Archaeal small subunit ribosomal RNA", at positions 235 to 929 of the family's 1478-position model. The record is from RNAcentral.
GGUGGGGUAAUGGCCCACCAAGCCGAAGAUCGGUACGGGCUGUGAGAGCAGGAGCCCGGAGAUGGACACUGAGACACGGGUCCAGGCCCUACGGGGCGCAGCAGGCGCGAAACCUCCGCAAUGCGGGAAACCGCGACGGGGGGACCCCCAGUGCCGUGGCAUCGCCACGGCUUUUCCGGAGUGUAAAAAGCUCCGGGAAUAAGGGCUGGGCAAGGCCGGUGGCAGCCGCCGCGGUAAUACCGGCGGCCCAAGUGGUGGCCGCUAUUAUUGGGCCUAAAGCGUCCGUAGCCGGGCCCGUAAGUCCCUGGCGAAAUCCCACGGCUCAACCGUGGGGCUUGCUGGGGAUACUGCGGGCCUUGGGACCGGGAGAGGCCGGGGGUACCCCUGGGGUAGGGGUGAAAUCCUAUAAUCCCAGGGGGACCGCCAGUGGCGAAGGCGCCCGGCUGGAACGGGUCCGACGGUGAGGGACGAAGGCCAGGGGAGCGAACCGGAUUAGAUACCCGGGUAGUCCUGGCUGUAAAGGAUGCGGGCUAGGUGUCGGGUGAGCUUCGAGCUCGCCCGGUGCCGUAGGGAAGCCAUUAAGCCCGCCGCCUGGGGAGUACGGCCGCAAGGCUGAAACUUAAAGGAAUUGGCGGGGGAGCACUACAAGGGGUGGAGCGUGCGGUUUAAUUGGAUUCAACGCCGGAAACCUUA